RNAcentral lists this non-coding RNA (186 nucleotides) under Phaeomonas parva. Lineage: Eukaryota; Pinguiophyceae; Pinguiochrysidales; Pinguiochrysidaceae. The record is from RNAcentral.
CCUCUCUCCGACCCGGUCCUGUGUUGAUGGUGCGCCUGCUGCACACUACCCCCAGCGCACGCGCCUCCGCGGAGGCGGAGGCGGGCACGCUGUUGAAUGCAUCUCACCGCACCAGGGGGGCAACCCAGCAGUGCAGAGGAGCAGGGGCUGUGGGGCACGCAGAUCACGCCCUGAAGAGGGCGCGGG